RNAcentral lists this ribosomal RNA (339 nucleotides) under uncultured Glomeromycotina. RNAcentral's name for it is "SSU rRNA". It matches the Rfam family "Eukaryotic small subunit ribosomal RNA", at positions 569 to 916 of the family's 1831-position model. Lineage: Eukaryota; Fungi; Glomeromycota. The record is from RNAcentral.
AGCAGCCGCGGUAAUUCCAGCUCCAAUAGCGUAUAUUAAAGUUGCUGCAGUUAAAAAGCUCGUAGUUGAAUUUCGGGAUCAAUAUGUUGGUCGUGCCUUGGUACGUACUAGCUUAUUGGUUUCUCCCUUCUGACGAACCAUGAUGUCAUUAAUUUGGUGUCAUGUGGAAUCAGGACUGUUACUUUGAAAAAAUUGAGUGUUUAAAGCAGGCUCACGCUUGAAUACAUUAGCAUGGAAUAAUGAAAUAGGACGUUUGAUUCUAUUUUGUUGGUUUCUAGGAUCGACGUAAUGAUUAAUAGGGAUAGUUGGGGCAUUAGUAUUCAAUUGUCAGAGGUGAAA